AUGCUAGGGUUCCACCUACACAGCCUCUUCCAGGAAAGAAAGGCCUCUUUGGAACUAAUCUCUCCAGAAGCCAGGAAAGGAAGGCCAGCUACUAACUCACCCAAGAUGAAGUCCAAAGGAGUAAAACCAGGAGCAGUCCUACAAGAAACAGCCCAAGAGCCAAAGUCAAGGUCCAAACCAAAGGUCAAGUUCAAAGCCAUCUCCAAAAGCGAAGUCACCAGGAGAAGAUCCAAGGCAAAGAUCCCAGCUGAAGAUUUUCUGGACAGGAAGUUCAGAACUUUUUAUAGUCCUUUUUUCACUAUUUUCUCCUUGGCCUGGGAACUCUUGAAUUUGACUAUCAUAUUCUCGGGAGUCGUCAUUUGCAGAUCUAUUGCAGGAGUUGGAAAACCUGAGGCAAACAGAGGUAAAGUGACUUGCCUAGGGUCACACAGCUAAUAUCCAAGGCCGAAUUUGAAUUCACGUCUUCCUGAAUCCAGGUCCAGCGUUCUAUCCACUGCACUACCUAAUUGCCCCUGCGAGGAGAUUUGUGUUAACCAAGAUUACAAACCAGUAUGUGCCAGGUGGGAAUUGAGCCAUGGUCUUUACUGACUUUGAGAAUAAUUAUUUAUUCAACAUCAUUCCUCUCUUAAAUAUAUAAUAUAUUGCUAAACAAACCCAUAUCUCUUUUGAAAUUAUAAUUAUAUAGUCCUGUACUACCGUUAUACUCUAACAAUUCAUCCUGGUAUGGAGAUGAACCUGAGUUCUCAAAGGCUAUGUCAGUGGGGUAUAAACUUUGACAGAUUCUCCCAUUUGGAAAGGCUUAGAAUACAAACCUGAUAAUCAACUAUGUGUCUGUCCUUAGAGGAACAACCUUUGUAAUAUAAAGCUGCUCAUCACUGGAAUUGCCUGAAGAUGAUGAAUUAUUUGUUUUGGUUAUAUCAUCUUUCAAAAAUUAUCUCCUAAAUUUUAGAGAUGUAUAGCAGAUUAAAAUCAGACCUCAACCAAACACAGUGAAGCUCACAGCUGGUGUAAAGGUGUGUCAUAGCUCCAAGGUAGGAGUAUUUCCAGGGAGUGUAUAAGGUCUGCGUACCUAUUACUCAGACUAUGCAGAAUGACUGUGCAAACUACAUGGGCUUCUUGAGUAGGCCUUGAAAAACCAUAGGAAGCUGCACUCAAUAAAAUAAAUGCUUCGAUCA
RNAcentral lists this long non-coding RNA (1175 nucleotides) under Monodelphis domestica (gray short-tailed opossum). RNAcentral describes it as "lncRNA (ENSMODG00000038531.1)". The record is from RNAcentral. Lineage: Eukaryota; Metazoa; Chordata; Mammalia; Didelphimorphia; Didelphidae.